GCCUUCGUGGUGUAGUGGUCAGCACUCUCGGCGCGUAUUCGAGAGGUCCGUGGUUCGAGUCCCGGCGAGGACA
Molecule: transfer RNA, 73 nt
Filed under: Stegodyphus mimosarum
Lineage: Eukaryota; Metazoa; Arthropoda; Arachnida; Araneae; Eresidae
Rfam family: tRNA
About the family: Transfer RNA (tRNA) molecules are approximately 80 nucleotides in length. Their secondary structure includes four short double-helical elements and three loops (D, anti-codon, and T loops). Further hydrogen bonds mediate the characteristic L-shaped molecular structure. tRNAs have two regions of fundamental functional importance: the anti-codon, which is responsible for specific mRNA codon recognition, and the 3' end, to which the tRNAs corresponding amino acid is attached (by aminoacyl-tRNA synthetases). tRNAs cope with the degeneracy of the genetic code in two manners: having more than one tRNA (with a specific anti-codon) for a particular amino acid; and 'wobble' base-pairing, i.e. permitting non-standard base-pairing at the 3rd anti-codon position.
Source: Rfam by way of RNAcentral